RNAcentral lists this long non-coding RNA (219 nucleotides) under Pan troglodytes (chimpanzee). RNAcentral describes it as "long non-coding RNA NONPTRT013988". Lineage: Eukaryota; Metazoa; Chordata; Mammalia; Primates; Hominidae. The record is from RNAcentral.
UGAAGGGGGCUAUGCAUAUGUGUGGUGAGAGGAUAUUGGGGACCUAUGUUCCUUCUACCCAAUUUUGGGAUGAACCUAAAGGUUUUUUACAAAAUGAUUUUGUGAGUACUGAUUAUCCUGGAAAUUCCUGUUCUGUGUGUGGUAUACGCAUUGCAGGCAUGGGCAUUAAAUUUAUACUAUAAGUUGUCAGAGAAGCCUGUGCACCGUGUAUUGAAAUAA